CCUGCAAUGAAUUUUCAUUUUAAAUUGCUCGAUUCUUGUUAAGAUUCUUAGGCUCUGCCCCUAGGCUCAUAUGAUGUUGGAUUGAUAAAAUAGUAGGCAUCUGGUGGAAUCCCAUUUUCAUCCAGAAAUGCCUCAACUCUAUGAACAUUUUCACCAAUAUCGUCCACUAUCUCUAUUUCAGAAUCUUCGUUUGCAAUUUCAAAAUGAGACUUGGCU
This 216-nucleotide unclassified non-coding RNA is filed under the name Hevea brasiliensis (rubber tree). Lineage: Eukaryota; Viridiplantae; Streptophyta; Magnoliopsida; Malpighiales; Euphorbiaceae. The record is from RNAcentral.